GCCCGGCUGGCUCAAUGGUAGAGCGUUGGACUUCUAAUAUCCCCUUGCUUCAGCAAUGAGCAAGUGGUGAGGGAGCCUAUCCAAAGGCUGCGGGUUCGAGUCCCGCGUUGGGUG
RNAcentral lists this transfer RNA (114 nucleotides) under Gaeumannomyces tritici R3-111a-1. RNAcentral's name for it is "tRNA GGTG_20214". It matches the Rfam family "tRNA". From Rfam's summary of the family: Transfer RNA (tRNA) molecules are approximately 80 nucleotides in length. The record is from Rfam by way of RNAcentral. Lineage: Eukaryota; Fungi; Ascomycota; Sordariomycetes; Magnaporthales; Magnaporthaceae.